Molecule: long non-coding RNA, 5691 nt
Filed under: Bos grunniens (domestic yak)
Lineage: Eukaryota; Metazoa; Chordata; Mammalia; Artiodactyla; Bovidae
Description: lncRNA (ENSBGRG00000001441.1)
Source: RNAcentral
GUCUGUUUUGUUUCAUAGCUUAUACUGGUCCUCUUGACAGAGCAAAAUCUAUGUACAUUCUAGUGAAUACUUAAUGUGGAUCCACAAAAUGGACCCCAUCACACAACUGAUUAUGUCUUUACCACUUCAACAGCAAUAUCAGAGAAGAUAUAUAAUAAAAACUUGACUAUCAAGGUGGUUAUGAUAUAAUUAGGCAUUAUAAUCUUUAUGAAAGAUUAUAAGAUAAUAUGUAUGACUUUUACACUUUCAUGGGGCUGAGUUGAAAUAUUUAAUAAAUGUAGAUUAUACGUAUUCAGCACUUUUUAUGUGGUCCACACUCUUACAUUUACUUUAAAUGUAAUAAUUCAUUUGUACCUACAGGCAAAUAGGCAAAUAAGGUUCUAAUUUCUUCCAGUUUUUCAAACAAGGCCAUUACGGAACUGAGAAGUUAAGCAACUUGUACAAGGUCACACAGCUAGUAGUAAAUAACAACAGUGGAAAAAAGAUAACACAGAAGUUGUGUGAACAUCAUGACAGAUCAAUUGACAGUGAAUAUGAAUGCUUUGGGCUUCCCAAGUGGCGCUAGAGGUAAAGAUCCCUCCUGCCAAUGCAGGAGACAUAAGAGAUGCAGGUUCAAUUCCUGAGUCAGGAAGAUUCCCUGGAGGAGGGAAUGGCAACCCACUGCAGUAUUCUUGCCUGAAGAAUCCCAUGGACAGAGGAGUCUGCUGGCUACCGUCUCUAGGGUUGCAAGGGUCAGACAGGACUGAAGCGACUUAGCACAUACCCACAAGAAUGCUUUACUCUGAUAAGCCAAAGACAGAAUCAGAAGAUAUUUUUUCACAGAAAAAUAAGAGAUUUUUAAACUACAAUACAGAAUUUUCCUUAUAAUUAAAAUGCCUACAAAUUCAAAUGUAUAAUCAAGUUUACACUAGUUUGUGGUUUAAGUUUUACACACAUUUCCUACAUUCACAAGCCCAGAUUCAUACCAAAUUAGCACAACACCAGGUAAUGGGGCUUCCCUGGUGGGCUCAGACUGUAAAUAGUCUGCCUACAAUGCAGGAGACCCAGAUUCGAAUCCUGUGCUGGGAAAGCCCCCUGGAGAAGCGAAUGGCAGCCCGCUCCAGUAUUCUUGCCUGGAAAAUCCCAUGGACAGAGAAGCCUGGUGGGCUGCAGUCUAUGUGGUCACAAAAAGUAGAACACAACUAAGCGACUAACACAGACACACACAGGCAGUGGAGAGGUAUCAUCAGUUCUAUAGUUACCUGUGUGGUGCGUGACCUGCCAAUACACUACACAAGUAUAAGUAUUUUCAGCCCAUGGAAAAUAUGGCAGGUUUUUAAAAACAUGUUCCAAACAAAAUCUGUCAUUGGUUCAAUCACUUUAAUAAGGGUAAUUUUCACAUACAAAACAAACACCCUAUUCUUCAACACCUGAACACAAGAACAGAUCCAUCUGUCAUCUUUAUCAUUUAGCUUCAGAUCAAUUGAUUAUUGACAGGCUAUGUCUGCUCUGGACAGUAUCAACAGAAAUAUUCAUCUCUAGUAGGAAACCAGUGCUCAGGCUUCUUUUCUGCACAAAGAGACCUUGUCCUUGUAUUUCACCAAGCUGAAAGCAGCUCCUAUUGAUUUCAGGUUGGACUGAAUUUGUUACAGUUUCUACAGCAGUGGCAGAAACUCUAUUUGGUGAUAUUAUUAAUGUAAAGGUGAAAGCAUAGAUUUGAAAAGGUGACUAUUAGAAAUGCUAUGAAUUUCAGGCAAAUCUGAUAAUUCUGACAUGUUUUUUUUUUGUUUGUUUUGCUAGACAGUUUUACAAAUUGGGUAAGGGGAUUAAGCAUUGAUUUAAUUAUCUAAUAAACAUCUAACAAAUACCAAAAAGAAAAUAUUUCUAACUUCAUUCUUAAAGUCAAACUGAUCCAAAUUUUGUCAUGUUAAAUGAAUACAAUGAUAUCAUAAUUAAAAUCAAUAUACACAUGUGUGUCCAUACAUAUGUAUAUAGGUUCAUUUACUGUAAUGUCCAGAAGAGUCAAAACAAUUAUAAACUCAAUGUAGUCCAAAUCACUAAACACUGCUAAGACAAGACAAGCCACUCUGUUUACUAUCACACAUUAUUUGCCUGAUGGACUUUUACAGACGUAUCUAGAAAUGUCCAGCGGGGCUUCCCAGGUGGCACCAUGGUAAAACCCGCCUACCAAAGCAGUAAACACAGGAGACCUGAAUUCUAUCCCCAAGUCAGGAAAAUCCCCUGGAAAAGGAAUGGCAGCCCACUCCAGUUUUCUUGCCUGGAAAAUUCCAUGGACAGAGGAGCCUGGUGGGCUACAGUCCAUGGGGUUGCAAAGAGUCACACACGGAUGUGCCUGAGGGACUGAGCACACGUGCUAGAAAUGCCUAACAUGCAUAUUCUCACCAUGGGCUGUUUUUGAGACGCUCCCUUUCAGCUGAACACUAUUUAACAGCUACAAAUUGGAGACCUAUAUUAAGACUUUAUCCAUUUUAAACCUAUGAGCCUGACAGUUGAUUUAAUUCCCAAUUUGAGAGUCAAGACACCUCUCUGCUACUAUCUUUCACAUUGCCUGCAUCUCAGUCACGUCUGACUGUUUGCGACCCCAUGGUAUGAGCCUACUAGGCUCAUGUCCAUGUCCAUGGAAUUUUCCAGGCAGAAAUACAGGAGUGGGUUGCCAUUUACUACCCAGGGGAUCUUCUGGACCCAGGGAUGCACCUUGUAUCGCUUGCACUGACAGACGGGUUCUUCACCACUGUGCCACCUGGGAAGUGCAGCUUUCAUGUCACUGUUACACAAAGGUUUCCAUGCAACAAAUUUCUGUACAAAUUCCUGAGCAGAUCUGAACUAUGUGUUUAUGUGUACCUAAAAUGACUGCUAUAAUGAUAUUCGAAGUUCAGUGAUGCUGUCAGCUAAGCCACUACUUCUUCAGGUUCUCAAAGUGAAUAAACUUCAAAAUGAAAUUUCUUCCCUGCUCCAUGUAAAUUUCCUCAUGAAGAAAUAGAAAAAUAGAGUGCUUGGUACCUAAAUAAGUAGAAGAAAUCAGAACAGCUUGAAAGCAUGCAUAGUGUCUUGCUUUUCCAACGUGAUUAUUUCUCCGACAAAAAGUAGCAAAUGUUGUACAUAAGUGCCUCUGCCAGUGGUUCAAAAUUGAGCCCCACACACUACACUGGCUUAACUAUUAGGCAUCUAAAUGGAGCAUGCGAAAAAGCCAUAGUGUGUGCAAUGCCUGGAUGGACAUGGUGGCUACUUGGAGCUGUUGAAUGUGAAGGGAGUCAACAGGGAUUUAUUGGACUCCCACAGAGUGGAAAACCGCAUAUUACCAAAGGGUUUGAGGUACAUUUUUAAAGAAGAAGAAAAGAGCUUGCUUUUUAGCUGUAAACAUGCAGGGUUCCAAAGGAGUGCUAAGAAGCUGUGAAAAUGGUCAUUAUGCAGCAGCUUCUGAAGGACUGCUCCUCCAGUUUCCUCCAAUUCGUCCUCAGAAGUCAUAAAUGCUGAAUGCUGGUAUGCUAUUAUGACAUAAUAAGAGAUGUAUAUGAGGUUCCUGGCACAGAGCUCCAAAACCCUUGUACUUUCCUGAGUGACAGGGUUGAGAGGAGUGUCCUUUGUUAUUCGUAACAAGUUCCUUUCAACCAUAUUUGAGUUUAUGUUAAUCAGGUGACUUUGGGAAAAUCCUUAAAGAUGAGGAGGCUGGGUGGCUGGCUGCCAGGAGAACCAAUCUUGGAAUCAGAAGGUUGGCACUUUCAGUUCCACUCUCAGACCUCUGGGGACAAGGGAGGGGCUAGAGAUUGAGUUCAAUCACCAAUGGCCCAGGAGUUAAUCAAUCAGUUAUACCUUAGUCAUUCAUGUCUAUGUAAUGAAAUCUCCAUAAAAACCCUAAACAUCAGGGUUUGGAGAGCCUCCAGGUGGGUGAACACUUGAGGUCCUAGGAGGGGGAUACACCUGGAGAAGGCAUGGAAACAUGGACCCACAUACCUAGUUCUAUACAUCUCUUCCAUUUGGCUGAUCUUGAGUUGUACCCUUUAUAAUAAACCAGAAAAGUAAGGAAACUCCCUGAGUCCUGAUUAAGAGUUGAUCAGUCACAAGUACAGAAGUUCCCGGAAUGUGCAAUUGGCCAUCUGAAGUUGGGUACUGUAUUAAGUGACUGAGCCCUUAACCCUUGGGAUCUACACUAACUCCUGGUGGUUAGUACCAGAAUUGAGUCCAAUUGUAGGACAUCCAGUUGAUGUAUACAGAAAAUUGGAUAAUUUCUUGGUGUGGAAAAACUCAUGCAUUUGGUGUCAGAAGUGUUGUAUGGGUAAAAAAUAGAUCUUAAGAGUUGAAGAGCGUUACAAGGUUUGUUGUCGCUGUUUAGUCACCAAGUUCUGUCCAAAUAUUUUGCAAACCUGUGGACUGGAGCCUGCCAGGCUUCUCUGUCCAUGGGAUUUCCCAGGCAAGAAUACUGGAGUGGGUUGCCAUUUCCUUCUCCAGGAGAUCUUCCCAACCCAGGGAAUGAACCCUUGUCUCCUGUAUUGACAGGUGGAUUCUUUACCACUGAGCCACCAGGGAAACUCAAUUAUAAAAUUAUCUAACACUUACCUACCAGACGUAUCUACCCAGGUGGUACAGUGAUAAAGAAUCUGCCUGUAAAGGCAAGAGAUGCAAGAGAAACAGGUUUGAUCCCUGGGUCAGGAAGACCCCUGUAUUCUUACAUGGAAAAUUAUAUAGACAGAAGCCUGGCAGGCUACAAUCCAUGAGGUCACAAAGAGUAGGACAUGACUGAGUGCAUACACACACAUAUGCUUCACUUUAUUCAACGGUCACCUUGUUGAAAGCAGGUUUGUUCAUAAAACAUCUCCAAAUGAAAAUUAAAAUAAUGUUUUAAAAAUUCCCUUACUUUCCAUAUAUAAUUGACCCUCACUUGGCAGGGGUUCCCUGGUGACUCAGACAGUAAAGAAUCUGCCUGCUAUGAAGGAGACAUGGGUUCAAUCCCUGGGUAGGGAAGAUACCCUGGGAAGGGAUUGACAACUCCAGUAUUUUUGCCUGGGAAAUCCCAUGGAUAGGUGAACCUGGAGGGCUAGAGUCCAUGGGGUCACAAAGAGUCAGAUAUGACUGAGCAACUAACACUUUCAGUUGGCAGAAAUGCCCAAGAUCCCCUUUAUUGUUCUCCCAAUUUGUUUUCAAGGUUUAACAAUUCUUAGUCAUUCCAGCUAGAGGAGGGGUUUACCAAACAAACUUGAAAUCCAUAAAUUUUGCAAGAAAAGUCAGGAGAAAUUCCAAGCAUAUUUGUGUUGCAGUCUUGGUUCAACAACUUUGAUUUAUUCUGAAGUGAAUUUUGAGGAAGAUUAUCACCGAUCUCUUAAUAUUGUUGUGAAAUCCCAUGGACAGAGCCUCCUGAUGGGCUAUAGUCCAUAGGGUCACAAAAGAGUCGGACAGGACUUAGUGACUAAACAACAUAUUUAUAUCACAUAACGUAUUUGAAUGGCCAAGCUCACCUAAUCAAUUUUCCUGAAAAUGAAAUUUUAAUACUAUAUUGGCUUGUUUUAUAAACAUAACCAUGUUUCCAACUAUUGUCAUGAAAGAGUUUUUCAUUAUCCAGGCUCCCAGAUAAAUCCUAAGAGAGAUUUGACAAGAUUAACCUGGAAUCUAAGUUACUUAAGUUUGAAUUUCAACUAAACCUCACUUAAGAUAUACAACCCUGAACAAAUUAGUUAACUUUCAUAUGCCUCAGUUUCC